This 468-nucleotide ribosomal RNA is filed under the name uncultured bacterium. Its description in RNAcentral is "partial 16S ribosomal RNA". It matches the Rfam family "Bacterial small subunit ribosomal RNA", at positions 28 to 507 of the family's 1533-position model. The record is from RNAcentral.
GAUGAACGCUGGCGGCGUGCUUAACACAUGCAAGUCGAACGGAAAGGCCGAAGCUUGCUUCGGUACUCGAGUGGCGAACGGGUGAGUAACACGUGGGUGAUCUGCCCUGUACUUCGGGAUAAGCUUGGGAAACUGGGUCUAAUACCGGAUAUGACGAUCUCUUGGAUGGGGUUGUGGAAAGCUUUUGCGGGAUGGGAUGAGCUCGCGGCGUAUCAGCGUGUUGGUGGGGUAAUGGCGUACCAAGGCGUCGACGGGUAGCCGGGCUGAGAGGGUGUACGGGCACAUUGUGGGUGUGAUACGGGCCAGACUCUCACGGGGGGGAGCAGUGGGGAAUAUUGCACAAUGGGGGCAAGCGUGAGGUAGCGAAGCCGCGCGGGCGAUGACGGCCUUCUGGUUGUAUACUCCUUUUGCACUCGAGGAGGCCUUUUGGUGACGGUAGGUUGUGAAGAAGCACCGGCUAACUACGUG